Molecule: transfer RNA, 63 nt
Filed under: Sambus femoralis
Lineage: Eukaryota; Metazoa; Arthropoda; Insecta; Coleoptera; Buprestidae
Description: tRNA-Ala
Source: RNAcentral
AGGAUAAUAGUUAUUAAAAAUAUCUAAUUUGCAUUUAGAAGAUACUGAAUCUCAGUUUAUCUU